CAAGGGAGACGCAUGAAGUAUCUUUACGAAGCUAAAAUUACACCUUUUUUUUUAACAACAUGCUAAAAUUAUACCUAUAUCAGAAAAGCACUAUAUGAAUUAAUAGAAGAUAUUUUUAGCAAGAAAAAAAAUUAAUAGAAGAUAUUAAUACACUACAAGAAAACAUCGGUAUUCUGACGGACAUUCCGACGGAAAAUGAGUUCCUCGGAAUUUCCCGAGGAAUUUGGGUUUCCUCGGAAUUUCCUCGGAAUAUACCGACGGAAUUCCGAGUAAACAUCAAUCCGUCGGAAUAUUCAGAGGAAAUUCCGACGAACUAGUGAUCGAUCGAUGCGUUUUUGGACAUAU
This 345-nucleotide long non-coding RNA is filed under the name Brassica napus (rape). Its description in RNAcentral is "long non-coding RNA (BNAP_LNC011099)". The record is from RNAcentral. Lineage: Eukaryota; Viridiplantae; Streptophyta; Magnoliopsida; Brassicales; Brassicaceae.